RNAcentral lists this unclassified non-coding RNA (1613 nucleotides) under Hevea brasiliensis (rubber tree). Lineage: Eukaryota; Viridiplantae; Streptophyta; Magnoliopsida; Malpighiales; Euphorbiaceae. The record is from RNAcentral.
CCAACAUGUCUGAGAUUGAGGAGUUCUCCAAUACAACCUCCAACACAGAUUCUGAGAUUCUCACACCCAUAACCAACACAGGUUCUGAGAUUCUCAAACCCAUAUUUUCUUCCAUUGGUAAUUCACCAGCUAUUACUACUGUUAAAUUAGUAGAAAGUCAAAAUUAUAUGUCUUGGGCUGCAUCAGUGGAAUUAUGGUUUAUGAGGCAGGGGUAUGAUGACCACUUGGUUAAAAAUGCCAUAGAUAUAGCUUUAACAAAUAGAGCUAAUUGGACUAAGAUUGAUGCUCAAUUAUGUAGUCUCUUGUGGCAUUCUCUAGACCCAAAAUUACUUAAUAUUUUCCAAUCUUGUAAAACCUGUUACAAAGUUUGAACUAAGGCGAAAACCUUAUAUACAAAUGAUGUGCAGCGUAUUUAUAAGGUAGUAUCAGAUAUGGUUCAUCUGCAGCAAAAUCAACAAGAUAUGUCUAGUUAUUUGGGACAGGUAGAAUCACUGAAAGAUGAAUUUAAUUCUAUCAUGCCAUGUACUGAUAAUAUUUCUGAGCAACAGCGGGACAGGUUCUUCAUGGUUUUGGCAUUGAUUGGGCUAAGACCUGACCUUGAUUCUGUUAGAGACCAGAUAUUAACUAGUCCGGUUAUUCCCACUCUAGAGGAUGUGUCUGCCAGGCUUCUACGCAUCUCACUCAAUAAGAAUAAUUUCUCCGGAAUUGAAUCUUCAGUUUUAGCUGCACAAAGUGGAAACCAACCGAGACAGGGUACUUAUCAGAGAGGCAAGGGUAAAAGGCUCCAUUGCACUUAUUGUGAUAAGAGUAAUCACACUCAAGACACUUGUUGGGCCCUUCAUGGUCGACCACCACGCCCCAUUCAGUCAAAUAAUGUGGGCCGAUCAACUGCUCAUAUGGCUCAAUCCGGUGAAAAUGGUAUUCUUCCAUUACCUGAUGGAAAGGAUCAGGUGUCAGAUUCUAUCCUAUUAACUGGAGCUGAUUACAAGGAGUAUUUGCAAUAUCAAAAAGCCAAACAGCAAUCUUCUAACAGUGCUCAUUCUAGUAAUUCCUUUGCUUAUCUAACACAAUUUUCGCUCACUGGUCCAUGGAUCCUAGACUCUGGUGCUUCUGAUCAUAUAUCUGGUAACAAAAGUCUUUUCUCAUCUCUAGUUUCUCCUCCGGUUUUGUCUAAAGUUACUUUGGCUAAUGGUUCACAAACUUUAGUUAAGGGCAUAGGCGAAAUAAAAAUAUUUCCAUCUAUUCCUUUAACCACAGUUUUGUUCACUCCAGAAUGCCCAUAUAAUUUAAUCUCCAUUAGUAAAUUGACUAAAAAUCUCAAUUGUUCUGUCGCCUUUACAGCUAACUCUAUUGUUGUGCAGGACCGGAGUACGGGGAAGAUGAUUGGAGUAGGAUGUGAGUCACAAGGGUUGUACCAUCUUUCUACUUCAAAUUCUCCAGUUGCUCUUGCCUCUACCACUUCCGCUGAUCUUCUUCACAAUCGUCUGGGUCAUCCGAGUCUUGCCAAAUUGCAAAAAUUAGUUCCCAGUCUUUCUAGUUGACAGGACUCACAUUCAAAAGAAGAUAAACUAGAAAGACUAGGAACUAAUUUUUACAAUUUGGCAAGACUCGGA